RNAcentral lists this long non-coding RNA (1694 nucleotides) under Aquilegia coerulea. RNAcentral's name for it is "long non-coding RNA (ACOE_LNC001750)". Lineage: Eukaryota; Viridiplantae; Streptophyta; Magnoliopsida; Ranunculales; Ranunculaceae. The record is from RNAcentral.
UUGCUCUAAAAAUACGGAAAGCGGAUGCUUUUUUUAUUUUUCGGAAACCGAUUUCCUUUUUCUCUCUUCUUUCUUCUCGAUCUAUUUUUUUUUCUCUUUCUCUCUUUCUGAAGCAGUAACGGCGUCUCCUUCCUUCUUCUUCUCUUCUUCUUGUCUCUCAUUCUAGGUUAACUCUUUCCCCCUCAUUCUUCUUCUCCCUCUCUUCUAUUCUCUGUUGCUAAAUUGGUUCAGGAGUGAUUACAAAUUUCCAGAUCUGGAACACUCUUUCUUCUUCCUUUAAUCAACAAGGUAAGUUGAUAUAUUAAAACUUUCUCCAUUGAAAUAGAUUUUUAUUGUUCUUUAUAUAUGUAAAUUGAGAAUUCAAAAUUGCUUCUUCAAAUAGAUGGGGUUUUUAUUUUUGGGAUUUUGUGAGCAAGAAAACUUGUUAUUAAUUUCAAUAAAAAUACGAUUUUGAUAUUUUUCCAUGGAUGUUGAAAGCUAAAAUAAAGCUUGGUAUGACUGAUUUUAAUAUUUUUGGUGGGUUGUUGUUAUUUUGCACAAAUUGUUCAAUAUAUCCGUCAUCCUUGUGUCCAGUUGUUGUAGUUACUUAUUUGUUUACAAUACAAAUUGUAGGAACAAGCUAUGAAGGCUUUGGCGUAUUUUCUCGGCACCAAAAAGGAUAGGGCGUAUUUUCUCGGCAACUGAAUCUGCAAGUAUCAAACUCUAUUCGCCAUAGUUUGCAGGUAACAAUGUUUCUAUGGUACUAAAUUUUAUUACAAUGUCAGGUUUGUCGCAUGUACACCCAAGACCCUACACAAACUGUCGACUGGCAGACUGACGAGCUUGCGCACCUUAGUGCACAGUACCCACAACCAGCUUGUGUACCCAAUAGAUUGCAAUUCCUCCAACUACACGGCAUUUUAUACAAGUUUAUAGUUGAUCAAUGAACUUUUGUUUGUUCUAUGUUGUGUGUUCAACAUAGAAACAGAUUGUAGUACACUUAAAAUGACUUUCCUGUUAUUAUAUUUCUGAGAGUCAAAUGACAGGUUAUUGAGACUUGAAACCUCUGGUCAUGUUAAUAACCUGUUAAAACCUUAGUUAGAAACACAGACAUUGAAUGUUAUGUAAGAUGAGGAAGACAUAUACUGCGGCAGAAAAAGCAUAUUUGAAAAGGCUGUAGUUUCUUCAAUGUUUUUUCUAGUAUCAAUGAAUCUCUCUGGAUAGAACUCUUCCGCAUUACUAGACCAUACAUUAGGGUCUCUUCCAAUUGCCCAAGCAUUUAUAAUCACUCUAGAUUUCUUUGGAAUAAAAUAUCCAUUGAUUGUUACAUCUUCUGUGGACUCAUGAGGAAUGAGCAAUGGUGCAACUGGAUGAAUCCUCAUGGUUUCCAUGAUCACCAUUUUCAAGUAGCUCAACUUAGUCAAAUCUGUUUCGUCAACCAUCCUGUCCAAUCCAACUAUGUUUUCUAGUUCUUCUUGAACUAGUUUCAUUACAUGAGGAUGUUUUAGAAGUUCUGCAAUGACCCAUUCUAUUGCUGUACUUGAAGUGUCCAUUGCUGCUGCAAGCAUGUCUAUCAUGAUUGCCUUAAUAUUGUCUCGAUCUAGGUACAAUUCUCGUGUGUUUCUUGAUCAUAUGUUUUUAAUGAAAACUCAGUUUCCAAGACGACAUUUUCAAAUCCAUCCUUACAAAAAAAUAUCGGGAAAUCGUUGGUAAUG